RNAcentral lists this ribosomal RNA (377 nucleotides) under uncultured bacterium. Its description in RNAcentral is "bacterial SSU rRNA". It matches the Rfam family "Bacterial small subunit ribosomal RNA", at positions 523 to 898 of the family's 1533-position model. The record is from RNAcentral.
AUACGGAGGGUGCAAGCGUUAAUCGGAAUAACUGGGCGUAAAGCGCACGCAGGCGGUCAGAUAAGUCAGAUGUGAAAUCCCCGGGCUCAACCUGGGAACUGCAUUUGAAACUGUCUGACUAGAGUCUUGUAGAGGGGGGUAGAAUUCCAGGUGUAGCGGUGAAAUGCGUAGAGAUCUGGAGGAAUACCGGUGGCGAAGGCGGCCCCCUGGACAAAGACUGACGCUCAGGUGCGAAAGCGUGGGGAGCAAACAGGAUUAGAUACCCUGGUAGUCCACGCUGUAAACGAUGUCGAUUUGGAGUCUGUGCCACUAUGAGCGUGGGUUCCGAAGCUAACGCGAUAAAUCGACCGCCUGGGGAGUACGGCCGCAAGGUUAAA